CAACUUCCUUUCAAACUCCUCAAACAAAUUUUCAAAGGCCCAACCCAAACUCUUACCCAAAUCAAGGUCCAAAUUCAUGUCAUAACCCAAUUCAAACUCCUUUGAAUCCUCCCGGUUUCAAUGAUUCGGAUAAACGCCUCAAUUCCUUAGAAAAAAGUUUGGAAGCCUUAGUGAAAUCGCAAACUAAUUUGACCCAAUCUCAACAAACUUUCAUGACAACCCUAACCCAAGAUAGGCAAAUCUUGCAUUCUAACGUGCAAGCCGUGUCUAAGUUAGAGGCCCAAUUGAGUCAAUUAGCUAGCGCGUUGUGUGAGCGAGAAAAGAACAAGUUGCCAAGUCAACCCGAGGUCAAUCCUAAGUUUCCUCUCAAUCAAAG
Molecule: long non-coding RNA, 376 nt
Filed under: Daucus carota (carrot)
Lineage: Eukaryota; Viridiplantae; Streptophyta; Magnoliopsida; Apiales; Apiaceae
Description: long non-coding RNA (DCAR_LNC004567)
Source: RNAcentral